Molecule: ribosomal RNA, 253 nt
Filed under: uncultured bacterium
Lineage: Bacteria
Description: partial 16S ribosomal RNA
Rfam family: Bacterial small subunit ribosomal RNA
Source: RNAcentral
UACGAAGGGGGCUAGCGUUGCUCGGAAUCACUGGGCGUAAAGGGUGCGUAGGCGGGUCUUUAAGUCAGGGGUGAAAUCCUGGAGCUCAACUCCAGAACUGCCUUUGAUACUGAGAAGCUUGAGUUCGGGAGAGGUGAGUGGAACUGCGAGUGUAGAGGUGAAAUUCGUAGAUAUUCGCAAGAACACCAGUGGCGAAGGCGGCUCACUGGCCCGAUACUGACGCUGAGGUGCGAAAGCGUGGGGAGCAAACAGG